This 242-nucleotide ribosomal RNA is filed under the name uncultured bacterium. RNAcentral's name for it is "partial 16S ribosomal RNA". It matches the Rfam family "Bacterial small subunit ribosomal RNA", at positions 28 to 271 of the family's 1533-position model. The record is from RNAcentral.
GACGAACGCUGGCGGCGUGCUUAACACAUGCAAGUCGAGCGGUAAGGCCCUUUCGGGGGUACACGAGCGGCGAACGGGUGAGUAACACGUGGGUGACCUGCCCUCAGCUCUGGGAUAAGCCUGGGAAACCGGGUCGUAAUACUGGAUAUGACUCCAUGACGCAUGUUGUGGGGUGGAAAGCCUUGUGCGGCUGAGGAUGGGCCCGCGGCCUAUCAGCUUGUUGGUGGGGUGAGGCCUACCAA